UACAACGGAGAGUUUGAUCCUGGCUCAGGAUGAACGCUAGCGGCAGGCCUAACACAUGCAAGUCGAACGGUAACAGAGAAGAGCUUGCUCUUUUGCUGACGAGUGGCGCACGGGUGCGUAACGCGUAUGCAACUUACCCCUAACUGGAGGAUAGCCUUUCGAAAGGAAGAAUAAUACUCCAUAAUAUUUCUCUAUGGCAUCAUAGAGUUCUUAAAGCUUUGGCGGUUAGGGAUAGGCAUGCGUUCUAUUAGUUAGUUGGUGAGGUAACGGCUCACCAAGACCUCGAUAGAUAGGGGGCCUGAGAGGGUUAUCCCCCACACUGGUACUGAGACACGGACCAGACUCCUACGGGAGGCAGCAGUGAGGAAUAUUGGUCAAUGGACGAAAGUCUGAACCAGCCAUGCCGCGUGCAGGAUGACGGCCCUAUGGGUUGUAAACUGCUUUUAUAUAGGAAGAAACCCCUCUACGUGUAGAGGGCUGACGGUACUAUACGAAUAAGGACCGGCUAACUCCGUGCCAGCAGCCGCGGUAAUACGGAGGGUCCAAGCGUUAUCCGGAUUCAUUGGGUUUAAAGGGUCCGCAGGCGGGAAGAUAAGUCAGUGGUGAAAGCCUACAGCUCAACUGUAGAACUGCCAUUGAUACUGUUUUUCUUGAAUAUAGAUGAAGUGGGCGGAAUGUGUCAUGUAGCGGUGAAAUGCAUAGAUAUGACACAGAACACCGAUUGCGAAGGCAGCUCACUAAACUAUUAUUGACGCUCAUGGACGAAAGCGUGGGGAGCGAACAGGAUUAGAUACCCUGGUAGUCCACGCCGUAAACGAUGAUUACUCGGUGCUAGCGAUAUACUGUUAGUGCCUAAGCGAAAGUGAUAAGUAAUCCACCUGGGGAGUACGGUCGCAAGAUUGAAACUCAAAGGAAUUGACGGGGGCCCGCACAAGCGGUGGAGCAUGUGGUUUAAUUCGAUGAUACGCGAGGAACCUUACCUGGGCUUAAAUGUAUUUUGACAGAUCUGGAAACAGAUUUUUCUUCGGACAAUUUACAAGGUGCUGCAUGGUUGUCGUCAGCUCGUGCUGUGAGGUGUCGGGUUAAGUCCCAUAACGAGCGCAACCCCUAUCUUUAGUUGCCAGCGAGUAAUGUCGGGGACUCUAAAGAAACUGCCGGUGCAAACCGUGAGGAAGGUGGGGAUGACGUCAAAUCAUCACGGCCCUUACGUCCAGGGCUACACACGUGCUACAAUGGUGCAUACAAAGGGCAGCUAUCUGGUGACAGAAUGCUAAUCUCUAAAGUGCAUCUCAGUUCGGAUCGAAGUCUGCAACUCGACUUCGUGAAGCUGGAAUCGCUAGUAAUCGCGUAUCAGCCAUGACGCGGUGAAUACGUUCCCGGGCCUUGUACACACCGCCCGUCAAGCCAUGGAAGCUGGGGGUGCCUGAAGUCGGUAACCGCAAGGAGCUGCCUAGGGUAAAACUAGUAACUGGGGCUAAGUCGUAACAAGGUAGCCGUACCGGAAGGUGCGGCUGGAACACCUCCUUUUUAGA
This 1532-nucleotide ribosomal RNA is filed under the name Vicingus serpentipes. Its description in RNAcentral is "bacterial SSU rRNA". It matches the Rfam family "Bacterial small subunit ribosomal RNA". Lineage: Bacteria; Pseudomonadati; Bacteroidota; Flavobacteriia; Flavobacteriales; Vicingaceae. The record is from RNAcentral.